Molecule: ribosomal RNA, 445 nt
Filed under: uncultured bacterium
Lineage: Bacteria
Description: bacterial SSU rRNA
Rfam family: Bacterial small subunit ribosomal RNA
Source: RNAcentral
AACACAUGCAAGUCGAACGGAAAGGCCUGCUUUGUGGGGUGGCUCGAGUGGCGAACGGGUGAGUAACACGUGAGUAACCUGCCCUUGACUUCGGGAUAACUUCAGGAAACUGGGGCUAAUACCGGAUAGGAGCUCCUGCUGCAUGGUGGGGGUUGGAAAGUUUCGGCGGUUGGGGAUGGACUCGCGGCUUAUCAGCUUGUUGGUGGGGUAGUGGCUUACCAAGGCUUUGACGGGUAGCCGGCCUGAGAGGGUGACCGGCCACAUUGGGACUGAGAUACGGCCCAGACUCCUACGGGAGGCAGCAGUGGGGAAUAUUGCACAAUGGGCGGAAGCCUGAUGCAGCAACGCCGCGUGCGGGAUGACGGCCUUCGGGUUGUAAACCGCUUUCGCCUGUGACGAAGCGUGAGUGACGGUAAUGGGUAAAGAAGCACCGGCUAACUACGUG